RNAcentral lists this unclassified non-coding RNA (334 nucleotides) under soil metagenome. Its description in RNAcentral is "partial contains 5.8S ribosomal RNA, internal transcribed spacer 2, and large subunit ribosomal RNA". The stretch from base 1 to 120 matches the Rfam family "5.8S ribosomal RNA", at positions 35 to 154 of the family's 154-position model. The record is from RNAcentral.
GAUGAAGAACGCAGCGAAAUGCGAUAAGUAAUGUGAAUUGCAGAAUUCAGUGAAUCAUCGAAUCUUUGAACGCACAUUGCGCCCGCCAGUAUUCUGGCGGGCAUGCCUGUUCGAGCGUCAUUUCAACCAUCAAGCCCCGGGCUUGUGUUGGGGACCUGCGGCUGCCGCAGGCCCUGAAAAGCAGUGGCGGGCUCGCUGUCACACCGAGCGUAGUAGCAUACAUCUCGCUCUGGGCGUGCUGCGGGUUCCGGCCGUUAAACCACCUUUUAACCCAAGGUUGACCUCGGAUCAGGUAGGAAGACCCGCUGAACUUAAGCAUAUCAAUAAGCGGAGG